ACCUGGCUGACUCAGUUGGUAGUGUGUGAGACUCUUGAUCUCCAGGUCAUGAGUUUGAGCCUCAUGCUGGGUG
Molecule: transfer RNA, 73 nt
Filed under: Felis catus (domestic cat)
Lineage: Eukaryota; Metazoa; Chordata; Mammalia; Carnivora; Felidae
Rfam family: tRNA
About the family: Transfer RNA (tRNA) molecules are approximately 80 nucleotides in length. Their secondary structure includes four short double-helical elements and three loops (D, anti-codon, and T loops).
Source: Rfam by way of RNAcentral